Molecule: non-coding RNA, 8011 nt
Organism: Oncorhynchus mykiss (rainbow trout)
Lineage: Eukaryota; Metazoa; Chordata; Actinopteri; Salmoniformes; Salmonidae
Source: RefSeq, a predicted model, not a curated record
UUUUGGAAGUGGAACUGACAGGAUGUGCAGGUGCAGAAGCGGGAGAUGGGGGCUUCCAGGCGGGUAACGUUUUAAUGUGGUGACAGCGGUUAAAAACGGAACAUAAUAAGUUUACCACUGCAUUUAUAAUGCAAAGUAGAAUGGAGACUUUCACUUGCUGAAAGUUGAUUAAAUCUGUGCAAGGCGCCUCAUAAAGCCACUUGUCAUAUCCGAAACCGAAUGAAAUGAUAAGCAGCCGGAGUGCAACAGAUUACCAGUCAGAAACUCCUGGUGGAAUUCUGGAACCUUUACCACAAGCGCCUUCGACGCAUUGACCAAUCAGAUCACAGCCGGGAGGAGGCUCUGCAGAGCAAGGUGGGUGUGCUGCAGUCGUUUGUGUGGGACCUGAGUGAGCAGAAUGAGGUUCUGCUCCAGGCGCUGGAGGCUGAGGAGGCGGAGGACCGGGCGGUGGAGGGGAGAACAGUCAGCCUUCACAAAGAGCUGGAGCGGCGCCGAUCCUUGGCUCUGUGCCUGAUGCCAGUGGACCUCGUGGGAACCACGGCAACGUUCUUCCGGUCCCCGUAAGUACCAAGACCCGUGAACCGAACCGGUUGGUACCCCUUCUGCAUCGGUUCCUCAUAGUUUACCCUUCCACUUUACACCAAUAAAAACACAAAGGGUGGAGUUUUGUAGUUCCUUUGGUUGGUUGGCAAGGAGGGGGCAAACUAAAAAGCGUGGGUGAGGGGGUGACGAAAGUGUUCCCACGGCCCCCCUACCCCCGCCUGGCGGAGCUGCAGGCAGGCCGGCUGGGGUAGGGUAUCUCCUCCCCUCCCCACCCCACCAGUGUGUGUGUCUGUGGCCGGGACUGCUGCUCCUGUCCCCCUGCCUCCUGUGCCCCUGCCCCCUCCACUGAGUUCCAGCAUGUCUGUUGUCUGUGUGGCAUCCCCCUCGCCUCAGUCUGGUUCCCAUACUGGUGGAUGCUGUAUAGAGCCUACAGCCUGAGCCAUUCAUCUCCCUGGUGAUUGCUGUGAAUGUAGAUAAAUCUCACACACACACACACACACACACACACACACACACACACACACACACACACACACACACACACACACACACACACACACGCCUGCCUCUCUGGCAUAGCUUAGCUUGCUGCUGAAGUAGAUUUUCAUGCUUUCUGUUUUUGCCUUUUCUUUUUUUCUUUUUUCAAGAAGUUGUUCCUGUCACGCAUAAAUCCCACACACCUGGAGGAAACCAUGAUGCGCGAUAAGUUUUUCUCUCGCGAAAAACAAAAACUAUUUAAACGAACGCAGAGAGAAAAGUAAAUUAAUUCCUGUCUGUCCGCUGAUUAUAAUGUGUUGGCGGUUCAUUAGUAUGCGUCCUCAUGUUUGCAGUUUUUUUCUUUUUGUGUGUGUGUCUUUGUAAACAGCUGCUGUUGAGACGUUGGCACAGUCCCUCAGGUCCUUUCUUCCUCCCUCCCCUCUUGUGGCUGGCAGGCAGGCAGGCGAUUGGCAGAAUGGCAGGGUCUGCGGCAUGGAGGCAGGCAGCAGUGCCCAUGGUAGACAUUCCUCAUCGCAGUGGCUGCCGGCCGGAUUGAUGAGAGCUGGAUGAAAAUGGUGUGUUAGAGGAGGAGGAGGGGGGUGGGGGGGUUGGCACAAAAACAGGCACCAGCUUCACACCCUCCCCUCCCCACAGAACAGCUUGAGCUUUUGUUUUGUCUUGUUUUCCCCCGCUUUGUUUUGUUUGUUAUCUUUCCCCUUCCUUUCAUUCUGUCCGUCGCGCUAAUUAACAGAGCAAACUUUUGUUGUUCUAAUUAGUCAUUUGAAGCACUAGAUGGUCUUUGUUUGCACUUGGCUUUCUUUAUCUUUGCCAAGCGACCCGCGACGGAUGCCCGAUCGUGUUGAUUUGCUCUUGAUCGUUGUGUACCAUCUCUCGCCCCCUUACAUUUUUCCGCGACAGAUGCCACCGCGUUCCCGCUGGUACACCUCUCGAAGAUCGUGGGUAUCGAAUCACCGCGCUCCUCGGGCAUCCUCAGAAGUGGUGACUUUCCCGCAAAUCCGUAAACGCCACCUUCCAUAUGAAAAAGACAUGGUGCCUUUUCAUCUCCUGUGUUUUCCUAGGGUGCGCCGUGACUGUCGAUGAGCAGGUUGGCAUGGCGUACGCUGCCUGGCUGGUUGCCUGGCACAGGGGGUUGUGCUUGAGAAGGGAGAGCGAGAGAAAGAGCGAGAGAGAGAGUGAGGGGCGCUUCUUUUUGUCCCACCCCUCAGUCGUCUCUAGGACAACACCACAAGCUUAAAGUUUCUCUGUGUUGGUUGUUCUCGAAUUUCCACUUACCCCACCAGUCCCUUGUGGCAGAGCCCAUUUCCUUCAUCUCCCCUUGUCCCUGGCUCCUUCGCCAUCCCCCUAGCAUCCUGCGCUGUGGGCCACCUAUCGUCUUUUGUUUUUUGUUUUCAAACCGAUACCUCCUCCCCCCACUCCUUGCCACCAUGCUAUGCCAAGCGCUCCAUCCCAACCCCCAAGGUGUCCCCUGAAAUUCCUCCAGGUGCACCGCUCUUCUCUUCCCAUCGUCACAAGGCUCCUUUCUUCUGUAAUCUGGGGCAGCAGAUGUUCUCCUCUUCUCCUCUGCGGUGGCGUUGACUUGACAUUGAGCCUUGUCUCCAGAACCCCAUCCGCAUCCGCACUCAAACUUCUACUAUUUGUAAAACACCCACGCUCCCCCCAAAAAGUCCCUCCCCUGGCAUGGCACUAGCUGCCAAAUCAGGCGGGGGUCCUUCUGUCUCCCUGUCUACAUCUAGCCACCUACCCCCGAGAGCGAACGCGAGUCCGCCCUGGCGCUACCACUGAAUGGAUGGCACUGUGCCAGCUUCUCUCUGCCAUCAUCUGCAUUCGCUGCUUGUUUCUCUCACUCGCCCGCCCCCUCUCUUCUGUCUCUCCCUCUCUUACCCUCCCCUCGUUCUACUCUCUUAGCCCCGCACCCCCCGAGUCCCCCUUUUGUUCUAUAGGCUUGACAUUAAUUAACAUACGGGUUAAUUGACUCUAAAAGCUGAUGAAUUGCUCUUUACAUCUCCCAUAGGCUGGCUAGCUGUGUGUCGCACCCUGCGCCCGCGCCCCCUUCUGCCUGGCACCGCCUGUGCCUCUACCUUGCCCUAGCUAGGCUCCACGUUGGCUGGCGCUAGUAGAGGAGCAGAGAGAUAGCCAGCCCUGCAGCCAGCAGCUCUGGUGUAGUGUAGUGUUAUAGACGUGAGUGAGCAGUGCCCCUACCCCACUGUACGCUGGGAAGGAUCUCAGGCUGCUUAUUGGACUAUAGCUGAUCGCAGUUGACGUUUUGCUGUCUGAUCCCACCGCAGGAUGUUGCAAUGGCAUUUUGUUAUAAAUAAUCAAAGUCCUCCUGCAACCACCUCCCACCCAUUUUUCUAUCUACCCUUCUCCUCCCCUUUUCACCCUCCCUCUCUCUCUCCACCCUCUCCGUCCCUUUCUCUCUUUCUGUCUCUAAACUAACACACUUUCACACCAGCAGAUACCAACUCUCCUGUCCUGUCUUGCCUUUCCACUCUUUUCUAUGACCAUCUGUUUAGCUUUUUCCCAUUUUUUUAAAAGAACUUCUAGGAUUAAAUGGAUAACGAAUCAAAGUUGUAAAUAAAUUGCCAUGUUUUUGGUCAUUUUUCUAAUAGCGCUCCUUAUGUACCUUGCGGUAAUUAUCUUUUCUCUCUUGUCAUUAGCGGUUUCGGGGAGCCUCGCUGAGAAUUAGCCUGAAUUAGCUAUGUCUGUCAUAUUUGAUUAGGUAAUUAUCUUGGCCACACCGUUUUCUGUCUUUUAUUUUUUCUGGUCGUUCCGAACGGAACUGAUGAGGUUAAAAACGAGAGACGGCAGGUUUUAAUUAUUAAAUAAUAUGCCCCCCUCCCUCUGAAAGGGGUCUGCCAAGUGCCGUUAAUUAACCAAGCUGCUGCUCGCAUUAAAAGUCAAGGUAGAACAGACUCAUUAAGACACAGCAAUGUGUAGAUAAAUCACACACACACACACACACACACACACACACACACACACACACACACACACACACACACACACACACAUAGCCAGGUUACCAGGUGCCUCAGGAUAGAAGCUAGCUGUAAUCUAUAAUUUCCCUCUUUCUCCCUGCCUGUGUUUAGAUUUGAUAUGGGUCUGGUCAUAAGCUGUUUAAUUGCUGAUGUUCUUAGUGUUGACUCUUUCCCUGUUUUCUGUCUUUUGGUGGGGCAGUGAGAUCCCUCGCAGCGGCUCCGUCUGGCGCUGGCGUUUUGGGGAGGCUGCGAUAGGAUGGUGAGACGGGGUGCUGGCACACCACUCCACAGGGCUGAAUCACGCUAUUCUCUCCUCUUUCACAACCUUUCGUUUUUUUCAUCAUAAUUAAGUAAAAAGGAGCAUGAGAAAACUGAGGCAACAAGAGGAAUCCAUUAUGCAAAUGCCCUGUUAUUUGCAUAAUGUCUUACGCCAGGAAUAUGCAAAUUAAGCGUAUAAUUUAUGAGCGCUUGCGUCUGUCUCAGUGUUCCCAUAACUUACAGAGAGGAUCAUUUUUGUUCUACACCCUCUCUUCUCCCCUCCUCUCCAGACUGGCACAGACACACACAGUCUCACACACACCAUACCCAUACAAACAAGCACACACUCUAUUCUCACAAAAGGGUUGGUGGCUGUGUGUACCAUGGCUGGGUGGGAAACAACUUGUCUGGCAGACUGAUGGGGGAUAAGGAGGCAGGCUAAGGAAGGGGAGGGGAGGGUUGGUGUGAUGGAAGACGUGGUGAGAGGGGCACAUAAACCCCCUUUACAAAGGAACAGUAGCAGAAGCACAUUUUCUAUAAUAAAUUAAGGGACACUAAUGCAGGGCCGAGUAAGGGGAGCCCCUGUGCUUUUUGACUUUUGUUUUGUCUUUGCGAGAGAAUAUGGUCCUGCCUCUUCUUGCUUUUCUUUGAUGCCCGCUUUUGGAGAUUUCUGCCCGUCACAGGAGCUGGUAGCUAAUCCUCAUCUGGAGGGUUUCCUCAGGAGUCAGUCUGAAGAAGGCAGAACAGCAUCCGCCGGGAUGGAGAGGAGAGGAGAGGGAGAGACAGGCUGCAUCUGUAGGCAUAUGUGUGGGCUCCCUCCACACAGCCUCCAGUACCCGAGGCUGCAACAUGUCAACCCAGCCCAGCCAAGUCCUCCUCACCUCAGCGCUGCUACAACCCGGACCAGAACUAGGAGAAAAAACAGAGUUAUCCAUGUUGUCUGAUCCGAACCCAACAGUUUUGUUUUAUUUGAGCCUUUCCUCCUCAGGCUUCUGUCUCUGUUUUUUUCCUCACCCCGGGUUAUUGUAAUCACCGGCCUGUUUUGCAUACUUGAUCUGUGGCUAAUGUCUGAAGUGACAAUACCACAUUGUUGAAGAGACAGAAAGCCACAGAUGACAUGCGUUGGAGAAAAACACGCCCAUUUCUGCAUUACAGUAUAGUGUGGAGUUUGGCGGAGAGAGACAAACUUUGGACGGUCGCGCUGUUUUUGAGAAAAACAUUCCUCCUCAGGGCCCCCAGACCUCUCUUUUUUUUCUCCUUCAUCUUUUUCUGUCCUCGUCUUCUUGCUGGCGACUUGGUGGCUUUUCCUCUCUUUGUAUGUGUCCCUCACACGGAUGGUUGGAUGGCGGCUGGGGAGGCUGUGUGUAUGUGUGCCAGGACAGAACCCCCCAUUACACACAGGACCAGUGUGCCCGCCUCCCACUGAGCCCAGGGGCAUCUGCUGCCUACUCCUCUCUGCUUUCCUGGUAGCAGCUAAGCAUUUUACAGUUCAGAGAUGGUGCGGGCACCGCAGUGUGUGUGUCUGUGUCUCUGUGUGUGUGUCUGUGAGUGUGUGUCUCUGCGUGUCUGUGUGUGUGUGUCUGUGAGUGUGUGAUGGCUUUCUGGUAUACAGCUCAAAUACACACUCACACAGGGUGUGUCACCUUGACUCCAGGCAGUGCAGGAUUCUCUAUUGCAGUGAUCAGAUCUCAGUAUGGGAAGGACAGAAGACUCUUCCGUGGGAAUAUUGGCUUUGCUUCUCUGUAUCCGUGCUGUGUGUGCCCAUGGCUCGGGCUUGGACUGUCACUCGCUAGGCUAUACUGUACUUACAGCCUUCGGAUCCUGCUACAGCCACUGUUAAUUAGAGCGCCGUGGUCAUUAUCCGUAUCCAUUUAAUUCAUCGCUGCUCUCAAUUGUCGUUUCUGAUUCACAUUCUUUUGUUUUGUGUAUAUUGGCGCAGUGUAAUUGGAAAGAUUUUCUGUGUGUGUACGUAUGUGUUUUUUUGCAAUCGCAAUUAUAUCAGGAAUUAGCGUUUAACUGCUGGUUUAAUUAUGCCGCUCUUUCAUUAUUCACAUGCAUGAUAAUGAGAUUCUCAAUGAAAUGUUGAAUAUUCACACCAACGCACGUGUUCUGAAUAUCAGCUGCAGGUCAUCAAGAGCAAUGUAUAACAAAUGGCAUUUGCAGUGUUUGUUUUUUUCAUUACAUUUCCCAAGUGUUCAUGAAGUGAAAUCGCAAAGUGCAAUUGAGACUAAUUGACAAAGCAAACUAGUAUUAGUCAUUGGCUAAAUUAGCAAUGUCAAAUAUAACUAGGUCUGUGUUUUUUAUAUUCAUUUCCCACUCAUUUUCUCUAACGAGACCAGCAAUUGUUCAUUCACAGUUUAGUUGCCCUGUUUUUUAAAAUCUGUCACAGAGUCACAUUGCUCAUUAUUUUAUGUGGCACAUUACUUUCACCUUGCCCCUGUCAGUGAAAUUGUUGCUCUUGUUUUUAUUUGUGUGUUAAACUGAAGUGAGGAGCUAUUCUGGCAUAAUUGGGAAAGGAGAUUUAAAGCCCUGAAAAUACCUCCACACUUCUUGUGCUCUCAUCAAACAGGAAUAGCAUUUCAUUUCAUUCUCUGAAAAAGCCAAAGAAAAGCAAUUUAAAAUCUGAUUUAACUUUGGUUUGAAGUUCUAUUGGAGGUCUGUACAGGACAGCUGAGCGGCCUGCCAUUGCCACUUGUAUAUAUCCACAGACUGAAAUAAAAAAACUCAGGGCAUUUGGGAAAGCAAAGAAAACUGCAUUUAAAGGGAAAUGGGAGAGACCGAAACGGAAAGACAUGACAUUGGGCUUCCAAAAGGAUACUUUGUUUCGGAAAUAGGCCCACCUUUGCUUUAGAUUCAAACUGUGUGUUUGGAGGUCUUGAUCACCAAGUUUCUCAACUAUUUCAUAAGCACACUUGAUACGAAUAUCAAUGCACGAAUGGACCAACGAGACUCAAAAUAAUGUAUGAUUGCAGUUUGCUUAGGUUUUGUGCUUGCAAGUAUAUUAAAAUGUAUGUAGUUCUGUCCUUGAGCUGUUGUCUAUUAAUGUUCUGUAUUAUGUCAUGUUUCGUGUUUUUGUGUGGACCCCUGGAAGGGUAGCUACUGCUUUUGCAACAGAACUUGUCCCGAUUGGUGUUUUUAAAUCAUCGAUGAAGGAUUUUGAGGCUGAUUCCCUGACCUGUCAAUGUUUUUAAUUUGCUGUUUUAGGAUUUUGUGAUACUCCUGUGAAUUCUAUGUUUUUUUACUGCCUGUAGUUUUUAAUGUUGUCUGUCUGUAAUUGUGUAAUGACUUGGUGCUGCCUACCUUGGCCAGGAUGCUCUUGAAAAAGAGAUUUCAAAUCUCAAUGAGCCCUUCCUGGUUAAAUAAAGGUUAAAUAAAAUAAAAAGAAUAAGUAUACAAAUAAAAUCCUAAAUCCUAGUAACUGCAUAAUACAAACAGCAGAUGUUUACUUUGGCUUGUUGAAUAGACACUUCCUGUUGAAACCCCAAAAUAGUUUUGGGCUGUAAUUCUAUCCCGAACAAUGUAGUAGAUAAUAUCACAGUAUCCUAACCAGCAGUAUUGUGAUGCAGCAUAUCAAUGUAUACAGCAUUUAGACUCCCACAAUUCCAAUAAGGUGUAGGCCUAAUUAACUGUGAAUGGUUCAGUGGUGUUCAUCAUGUUUUCAAGUUACUUACGUGCACAAUGUUGUAUCAAAGAGGUGUGUUCUAAAAAAUAAAUGACCAAAGCAUUAUUUACCA